RNAcentral lists this ribosomal RNA (253 nucleotides) under uncultured bacterium. RNAcentral describes it as "partial 16S ribosomal RNA". It matches the Rfam family "Bacterial small subunit ribosomal RNA", at positions 524 to 776 of the family's 1533-position model. The record is from RNAcentral.
UACGGAGGUGGCAAGCGUUGCUCGGAAUCACUGGGCGUAAAGCGCGUGUAGGCUGCUCGGAAAGUCGGAUGUGAAAGCCCUGGGCUCAACCUAGGAAGUGCAUUCGAAACUCCCGAGCUGGAGUCCUGGAGAGGAAGGCGGAAUUCUCGGUGUAGAGGUGAAAUUCGUAGAUAUCGAGAGGAACACCGGUGGCGAAGGCGGCCUUCUGGACAGUGACUGACGCUGAGACGCGAAAGCGUGGGGAGCAAACAGG